AACGAACGCUGGCGGCAUGCCUAACACAUGCCAGUCGAACGAGACCUCCGGGUCUAUUGGCGCACGGGUUCGUAACGCGUGGGAACCUGCCCUUAGGUUCGGAAUAACUCCCCGAAAGGGGUGCUAAUACCUGAUAAUGUCUUCGGACCAAAGAUUUAUCGCCUUUGGAUGGGCCCGCGUUGGAUUAGCUAGUUGGUAGUGUAAAAGCCUACCAAGGCGACGAUCCAUAGCUGGUCUGAGAGGAUGAGCAGCCACACUGGGGCUGGGACACGGCCCAGACUCCUACGGGAGGAAGCAGUGGGGAAUAUUGGAAAAUGGGCGAAGGACUGAUCCAGCAAUGCCGCGUGAGUGAUGAAGGCCUUAGGGUUGUAAAGCUCUUUUAGCCGGGAUGAUAAUGACAGUACCGGGAGAAUAAGCUCCGGCUAACUCCGUG
This 433-nucleotide ribosomal RNA is filed under the name uncultured bacterium. RNAcentral's name for it is "partial 16S ribosomal RNA". It matches the Rfam family "Bacterial small subunit ribosomal RNA", at positions 29 to 507 of the family's 1533-position model. The record is from RNAcentral.